This 97-nucleotide transfer RNA is filed under the name Phakopsora pachyrhizi. RNAcentral describes it as "tRNA-Pro". It matches the Rfam family "tRNA". From Rfam's summary of the family: Transfer RNA (tRNA) molecules are approximately 80 nucleotides in length. Their secondary structure includes four short double-helical elements and three loops (D, anti-codon, and T loops). Lineage: Eukaryota; Fungi; Basidiomycota; Pucciniomycetes; Pucciniales; Phakopsoraceae. The record is from RNAcentral.
GGCCUGAUGGUCUAGUAGUAUGAUUCGCCCUUCGGGUAUCCAUUUCGAAAGAAGUAUAAUAUGGGCGAGGUCCCGGGUUCAAUUCCCGGUCAGGCCC